This 292-nucleotide ribosomal RNA is filed under the name uncultured bacterium. RNAcentral's name for it is "partial 16S ribosomal RNA". It matches the Rfam family "Bacterial small subunit ribosomal RNA", at positions 775 to 1070 of the family's 1533-position model. The record is from RNAcentral.
GGAUUAGAUACCCUGGUAGUCCAUGCCGUAAACGGUGGGCGCUAGGUGUGGGGUCCUUCCACGGACUCCGUGCCGUAGCUAACGCAUUAAGCGCCCCGCCUGGGGAGUACGGCCGCAAGGCUAAAACUCAAAGGAAUUGACGGGGGCCCGCACAAGCGGCGGAGCAUGUGGAUUAAUUCGAUGCAACGCGAAGAACCUUACCUAGGCUUGACAUAUACAGGACGACGGCAGAGAUGUCGUUUCCCUUGUGGCUUGUAUACAGGUGGUGCAUGGUCGUCAGCUCGUGUUGCUG